This 75-nucleotide transfer RNA is filed under the name Caudoviricetes sp. RNAcentral's name for it is "tRNA-Cys". It matches the Rfam family "tRNA". Rfam says of the family: Transfer RNA (tRNA) molecules are approximately 80 nucleotides in length. Their secondary structure includes four short double-helical elements and three loops (D, anti-codon, and T loops). Further hydrogen bonds mediate the characteristic L-shaped molecular structure. tRNAs have two regions of fundamental functional importance: the anti-codon, which is responsible for specific mRNA codon recognition, and the 3' end, to which the tRNAs corresponding amino acid is attached (by aminoacyl-tRNA synthetases). tRNAs cope with the degeneracy of the genetic code in two manners: having more than one tRNA (with a specific anti-codon) for a particular amino acid; and 'wobble' base-pairing, i.e. permitting non-standard base-pairing at the 3rd anti-codon position. The record is from RNAcentral. Lineage: Duplodnaviria; Heunggongvirae; Uroviricota; Caudoviricetes.
GAUACUGUCGUCAAGAGGCUAAGACACCAGUCUGCAAAACUGGAGUCGUGGGUUCGACUCCCACCAGUAUCUCCA